CUGGGGGGAAAAGACAGCAGAGGCUGUCCCAUCUCCUAAAGGGAUGCUAGUUUACCAGGAAAAAGACAUAGCUAAGCAGAAACUCAUUGCCCUGAGAAUCAAGACAUGAGGUAAAAACAUUCUUAUGGUGUCCUUCAGCAGAGGUACUGUUUCUGCCACUUUCUGAAUUCUGCAGGGCGCAAGAGCAAGUCCAAAGCCAGAGAGAGGGGAAGGAAGAGAAGAUGGGAGAGGGGGAAAAAGAAACAUUGAUGCAAGAGAGAAGCAUGGAUUGGCUGCCUCACAGAUGCACUGGGUAUUGCACAUGUGUGGACCAGGAAUUGUAUGUACCCGGACCUGGGACAGAACCCACAACCUAGGCAUGUGCCCUGACCAGGAAUCAAACAUGCAAUUUUUCAGUCACAGGAUGACGCUCCAGCCAACUGAGCCACACCAGCC
Long non-coding RNA from Pteronotus mesoamericanus, 435 nucleotides. RefSeq lists it as uncharacterized. The record is from RefSeq and is a predicted model, not a curated record. NCBI's taxonomy places the organism in Eukaryota, Metazoa, Chordata, Mammalia, Chiroptera, Mormoopidae. The transcript is spliced from 3 exons.